AGUUGCUCCUAGUGCAAUGCCUAUUAUCAAUCUUUUUUCCUAGUCUUGCUUCUACUGAUUUGGAGGGGUUGUACAAAUGCAAUGAGUUGUUAGAAGUCAAGGAAAGCUUGUUUGGUAUUGGUAGUCUUAAAGCCCUUGGGGUUGAUGGGUUCCCUGCGUGUUUAUUUAAGAACCAAUGGCAUAUUUGUGGGCCUACUAUUUUUAAUAUGGUUCAGAAAGUUUUUACUGAUUGUCAAAUUCUAG
Molecule: long non-coding RNA, 243 nt
Filed under: Prunus persica (peach)
Lineage: Eukaryota; Viridiplantae; Streptophyta; Magnoliopsida; Rosales; Rosaceae
Description: long non-coding RNA (PPER_LNC004927)
Source: RNAcentral